GCACUGCUGAGGAGUCCCAAAAUAGGACGAAACGGCCGCCCAGUGC
Molecule: non-coding RNA, 46 nt
Organism: Schistosoma rodhaini
Lineage: Eukaryota; Metazoa; Platyhelminthes; Trematoda; Strigeidida; Schistosomatidae
Source: Rfam